RNAcentral lists this ribosomal RNA (379 nucleotides) under uncultured eukaryote. RNAcentral describes it as "partial 18S ribosomal RNA". It matches the Rfam family "Eukaryotic small subunit ribosomal RNA", at positions 592 to 976 of the family's 1831-position model. The record is from RNAcentral.
CAAUAGCGUAUAUUUACGUUGUUGCAGUUAAAAAGCUCGUAGUUGGAUUUCGGAUGGGAUUUGCCGGUCCGUCGUUACGAUGUGCACUGGCCAGUCCUAUCUUGUUGUCGGGGACUAGCUCCUUGGAUUCACUUCCUGGGACUAGGAGCUGACGAGGUUACUUUGAGUAAAUUAGAGUGUUCAAAGCAAGCCUACGCUCUGAAUACAUUAGCAUGGAAUAACACGAUAGGACUCUGGCUUAUCUUGUUGGUCUGUGAGACCAGAGUAAUGAUUAAGAGGGACAGUCGGGGACAUUCGUAUUUCAUUGUCAGAGGUGAAAUUCUUGGAUUUAUGAAAGACGAACUUCUGCGAAAGCAUUUGUCAAGGAUGUUUUCAUUAA